UACGGAGGAUGCAAGCGUUAUCCGGAAUGAUUGGGCGUAAAGCGUCCGCAGGUGGCUAUGUAAGUCUGCUGUUAAAGAGUGAGGCUCAACCUCAUAAGAGCAGUGGAAACUACAUGGCUAGAGUGCGUUCGGGGCAGAGGGAAUUCCUGGUGUAGCGGUGAAAUGCGUAGAGAUCAGGAAGAACACCCGAGGCGAAGGCGGCUCCCUGGGUCGUACCUGACGCUGAGGCGCGAAAGCGUGGGGAGCGAACAGG
RNAcentral lists this ribosomal RNA (253 nucleotides) under uncultured bacterium. RNAcentral describes it as "partial 16S ribosomal RNA". It matches the Rfam family "Bacterial small subunit ribosomal RNA", at positions 524 to 776 of the family's 1533-position model. The record is from RNAcentral.